CCGGCCCGGAGCGCGCUCCUCCGCCGAGGCCCUUCGGCCUGGGGCUUAGGGGAGACCCUCCCUGUCCUGCCACAAGCCACGCGGGGAAGGCGGGGAAACUGAGGCACGGGAGUGGCGUGGGGGACUCUCACUCUGCUGCAUGGGCUAGGGUAGGGUUGGUUCCUAGCCCAGGGCUGCUGGGGGUACAGGGCCCAAGAGCCUGGCCAACGCAGGAGGGGGAAGAGUCACAGCCACUGCCCCAGCUUGUCCUGGAAUAUCUCUUUCCCCAACACACACACGCACCCCGCCGCCACCACCAUCUUGUCCCAGCCGAGGAGGAGAGGUACAGCAAUGCUGCUCCAGGAGGCAGGGGGUUGCAGAGGAGAAGGCUCUUGCGCCGGACACGGGAGACCCAUCUUAGAAAAAAUGAAACUGGAAAUAAGAUGCAUAUUUUUAACAGCAAGAUGGAUUCCCUGUCCCGCCUGCCCCCAACAGAUUCCCUGUGCAUGGGGGAUUGGCCAUCAUCUGGAGUCUACAUCCCCAACCAGUCUCUUUUCUAAAGAUAUGGCUGGCUGCAGGCCUGGCCGCGAGAGAGCCUCGCCUGAGCCUGGCAUAGAACAGGCUGGAGCCGAUCAGAAGGGCCCCUUCUGGCCUUGACAACUACGAAUCUAAGAAGUGACUCUGAAAAAGAUUUGUGGGUCGUGGUGCAUAAUCGGCUGAGCGUGAGCUCUCAGUGCGACGCUGGUGGCCAAAAGAGUGAAUCCGAUCAUCGGAUGUGUACACAGGAAUCUCAGAAAUACCAGGCAUGGCAGGUCUGAUCUCCUCUGAGGACUCUGUGAGACAGAUUCUGGACGGUUUGGCAUUUGAAGAGUGAGGGCAGUUGAAGAUUUCACAAGAACUGUUUUCCCCCGAGUGUGUCUCUGGCAUUUGAGUUAUAUAAGUGGUAGCACCUUACCACAUACAGUUUGAAGCAAUGAAUGUAUACCUUCCCCCAUCAUUAACCAGCUUUCUCUCACUUUGUGUCUGUGCUGUCCCAGCCCGCCCAGCUCUCCAGUCAUCCCAGAAAAUCACAGUAGCCAAGACCUGAAUUUCUAGUGUGAAAAAGGCCCAAGAACUGCCCCCAAAUCAUUCCUGCAGCAGAGCUGUGAGAAAAACAUCCAGUCUUGAUUUAAAAAUCGUCGGUGAUGGAGAAUCCACCAUGGUGCUUGGUAAGUUGUUCCGAUGGUUAAUUACUUUCAGAAUUAAAAACGUACGCCUUAUUGCCAGUCUGAAUUUGUCUAGUUUCAACUUCCAGCCAGUGGAUCAUGUUAGACCUUCCUCUGCUAGUUUGAUGAGUUCCUUAUGAAAUAUUUGUUCCCCAUGUAGGUACUUAUAGACUGUGAUCAAGUCACCCCUUAACCUUCUGUUUGUUAAGCUAAAUAAAUUGAGCUCCUUGGGUCUCUCACUCUAAGGGAAGAGGCCGAGCGGGGGUGACUCCGGAGUGGGGGCAGGUGCAGGUAGGGUGACCAGACAGCAAGUGUGAAAAAUCUGGAUGGGAGUGGGGGGUAAUAGGAGCCUAUAUAAGAAAAAGCCCAAAUAUUGGGACUGUCCCUAUAAAAUUGGGACAUUGGGUCACCCUAGGGGCAAGCCCAUGGCCCAGGUGCUGGGACCCCUUCUGGCUGUGGGCCUGGUGCCAUUAUAUAGAGAGAGAUAUACCUAUCUCCUAGAACUGGAAGGGACCCUGAAAGGUCAUUGAGUCCAGCCCCCUGCCUUCACUAGUAAGACCAAGUACUGAUUUUUGCCCCACAUCCCUAAGUGACCCCCCUCAAGGACUGAGCUCACAACCCUGGGUUUAGCAGGCUAAUGCCCAAACCACUGAGCUAUCCCUCCCCUGUUAACUCAGUGCUGCCUGCUUGAGAUUCCCGUGUUUAUGCAUUCCAGGAUCGCGUUAGCCUUUUUGGCCACAAUGUCACACUGGGAGCUCACGUUCAGCUGAUUAUCCACCACAACUCCCAAAUCCUUUUCAGAGUUGCUGCUUCCCAGGGUAGAGCCCCGCAUCCUGAGUGCAUCCGACAUUCUCCGCUCCGAGGUGUACACAUUUCCAUUUCAUUUCCAUUUAGCCACAUUGUUUGCUUAUGCCCAGUUUACCAAGUCCGCUGUGUAUCAGUAACCUGUUCUCUUCAUUAUUUCCCCCUCCCCCAAUUGUUGUGUUGUCUGGAAACUUUAUCAGUGAUGACUUUACAUUUUCUUCCAGGUCACGAAUAAAAAUGUUAGAGGAGGGUCAACCACUGACCCCUGAAGAACCCCCAGCGGAACCGCACCCAUUGGAUGUGAUCCCCCGUUUACAAUGACAUUUUGAGACCCAUCCGUUAGCCAUUUUUAAUCCAUUUAAUGUGGACCAUGUUCAUUUUCUAUUGCUCUAGUUCUUUUAAUCAAAAUGUUGUGAGGUACCAAGUCAUACACCUGACAGAAGCCUAAGUAGAUGAUGUCAGCAUCAUUACCUUUAUCAACCAAACUUGUCACCUCAUCAAAAAACGAGAUCAAGUUAGUCUGACAGGAUCUAUUUUCCAUAAAGCCAUGUGGAUGGGCAUUAAUUCCA
Long non-coding RNA from Mauremys mutica (yellowpond turtle), 2557 nucleotides. RefSeq lists it as uncharacterized. The record is from RefSeq and is a predicted model, not a curated record. NCBI's taxonomy places the organism in Eukaryota, Metazoa, Chordata, Testudines, Geoemydidae. The transcript is spliced from 3 exons.